Paramuricea clavata is the source of this 1416-nucleotide non-coding RNA. Lineage: Eukaryota; Metazoa; Cnidaria; Anthozoa; Malacalcyonacea; Plexauridae. The record is from the annotation of a GenBank genome assembly.
AUUCUUCCUAAUAUAAUCAAAACUUCCUCUGUCUUAUUAUAGACGGAUUAAAAGAAUGAAGCCUGCCUCUCUCAUCAGACAUUGGUAUCCCGGAGAUUAGCACAAAUAAUUUAUCUUGAACCAGAAUCCUAAGGUCUUAGAUGAAUGUCUCUUUGUUGAAAGAAAACUGUUUCAUAAAGAUUGAAAAUGCCUUUUUCUGAGUCAAUGCAUAACUGUUCUGUUGGAACGUAAGGCAAAGGUAUUUACUCGCUUUAUUAUUAUUUUAUGCAAUAGUCAAUAUUUAGCAGUAUUUUUUUCAGUUUAAAUGAAGAAUAAACUGGGAAGUGAUGACCAAAGUGCAUAGUUCACCUGAAGUGUUUUCACUUGUGACGACCCAUUAGCUCUAUCUGAUUCCAGUUUCAUUAAAAGUUUAAAAUUUGUAAAUGGAUUUGCUGUAAAAGCUCAACAUUUUCUAUUUCCUAUUUGCUAAACAUAGGUGUGAAGACUCGAAAAAGAUAAAAACAAAAAACCAUUGGGUAAUCACUUGAUUGAAUUCUGCUCUUGUAAGUAUAUGAAAGUAACAUUGAUUUUUGUGUUAUUUUUCUGCAAUCAAAGAAAGUUGAUCAGAAUUGUAGUUUACAUCAAUUGUUACAGUUGAUUUCACAAAACUUUUACCAAAUUGUUCUGAACAAACUUCAAAACAUUUUUUCGAAGUCCAAAACUUCUUCAUUGAAGUUCACAAGCCGGUCUGUAAACAAAGCCUCUAAUUGGUCUGUGAAUUGCAAGAGCAAAUGCUUAGUUUUGUAAACCUAUGAAUUUUGGAACUUCCCAACAAAUUUGAAACAUUUUGGCAGAGGUUAAGUGAAAUUGUAAGUACUUGUCCUUGAUUGGCUCAGCGUGUAAAUGCAAAUGAUGACUUCAGAAUAGGGACAUAUGAAUAUCCCAUGAUUCAAAAAAUUUCUGGAUAACAUUUUUCCUGAUGCAAAUGCACUUCAGCCAAUGUUAUAAGUUUUGCAUAGUAUUAAAAAGUUACUUAGAGUAAGUUUGUAACAUCUUGUUUUCUAUUAUAUAUCUUAAGAAAUGGAGGAAGUUAUCAAUGGAGGAAGUUGCAUUAAGUAUAUUAUAAGGUAUGGUAUAAUUUUAGAUGGUACAUUCACAUGUUCAUUUAUUUGCCUAUGAUGUAAUCUAUAUUUGCUACUCUUGAUGUCACAAGAUGAUGAGUAACCACCAAGAUCUCUGAGGCAAAUGUUGAAUUUUUAAUUCAACAACAUGUAUGUGCAAGGGUGAUGACCUAACUUGGUUUUUUUCUUGAUAGGAGAUCCUAGGGCCUUGAAAGUUCCUGCCUAUUCAACAUCUCAGAAGCAAGAAAAUACUUCUUAUGUAACACUUUGUUAAAAUGACCACGUAACAAAUUAAUCGAUAAAAAUUGAAAUCACC